UACAGGGGGUGCAAACGUUGCUCGGAAUCAUUGGGCGUAAAGCGCACGUAGGCGGUUCGUUAUGUCGGAUGUGAAAGCCCUUGGCUUAACCGAGGAAGUGCAUCCGAAACUGGCGAGCUAGAGUACGAAAAGAGGAUCGCGGAAUUCCCGGUGUAGCGGUGAAAUGCGCAGAUAUCAGGAGGAACACCGGUGGCGAAGGCGGUUCUCUGGGCAUUCCCUGACGCUGAGGAGCAAAAAGUGUGGGGAGCGAACAGG
This 255-nucleotide ribosomal RNA is filed under the name uncultured bacterium. RNAcentral's name for it is "partial 16S ribosomal RNA". It matches the Rfam family "Bacterial small subunit ribosomal RNA", at positions 524 to 776 of the family's 1533-position model. The record is from RNAcentral.